RNAcentral lists this long non-coding RNA (614 nucleotides) under Homo sapiens (human). RNAcentral describes it as "SRD5A3 antisense RNA 1". Lineage: Eukaryota; Metazoa; Chordata; Mammalia; Primates; Hominidae. The record is from RNAcentral.
CUUUUUUUUUUUUUGAGACGGAGUCUCUCUCUGUCGCCCAGGGUAGAGUGCAGUGGUGCAAUCCUGGCUCACUGCAACCUCUGCCUCCCAGGUUCAAGUGAUUCUCCUGCCUCAGCUUCCCAAGUAGCUGGGACUACAGGCGUGUGCCACCACGACCAGGAUCUUUCUGCUGAUGCAGCUGUUAAGAGUGUUUCAUAAACUGUGACAACACUAAGCAAAAUCAUAGAAGGAAACUCUAUGGACAAUUUCAGAUGGAGAAGAAGAAAGGACUGGAAGUUCAAUUUGGCCAUGACAAUUAGAGGCCAGGUGCAGUGCAUGUAAUCCCAGCACUUUGGGAGACUGAGAUGGGAAGAUCGCUUGAGGCCAGGAGUGCAAGACCAGCCUGGGCAACACAGCAAGACCUUGAUUCUACUAAAAAAAAAAAAGGAUCCUUCAACUUCAACAAUAAUAACACAAGGGAAGUGAAGAAAAACACUUUCUAAGGAAAUCUCUCUCUGAGCUACCAUCCUGCUAGGGAGAGCCUGAAAGCAGAAUGCUGACUUGACUAGCUCUGGUCAAUGAAAGAAAUCACCAGUGGAAAGGCUACCAGGGGGCUUUCUCAAAAGAGAGGGACA